GUUUCGCACUCAACAGUACUUGAAUAAGCAUAAUUGCUAGAAAAUUUAACCUCCGCGGCUUUGUUUGAUUAGUUAAUACUGAUUAGCCUCUUUACAUGCACUCACCUGCGCAGCAUAGUUUCGCACUCAACAGUACUUGAAUAAGCAUAAUUGCUAGGUUGAGUCUUUUGAAAAAGGUGACGUGUUAUGAACCAUGAUUAAGAUAGAGUUGACAUGAGACAGUAAUGGAUGAACGGUGGUUAUUAAAACCAAUGAACCAUGAUUAUUGGAACUACCUUUUAUUCUUCAAGCUGCCAUUAUAGGGUCCUGCCACUGUCUGAAUCAUCAGCGAUUGUGCCUCUAUUAUAAAAGUUGCCAUCACCAUACUAAUUUCUGCCUCUUUCUCUUCAAUUUUGUGGAUUUUAAGUUGUGUGGCUAUCAUUGCAGUUGUAAUUCUAUUCUACUUUUGCCGUUGUUUUCAUGCAAUAGAAGGGAGUGGAUUUAGCUCUUUCCAAUCUUCGAUCUUUCGAUAAAAGGUCUUACUAUAGUUUCUUCUUAACUCCAGUGAUAUGGCUAUUGCAUGUUUAGAGCUCUAGCAUGCUUGCAUAAACAGGGUUUGGUGCACAUAGAUAUUAAGCCCGGAAACUUCCUCUUCUCUCAGAAGCUAAGCAAAGGUUACCUGAUUGAUUUCAACCUUGCCAUGUUUGGAGGCCUUUUAACUACUGUUAUACUCGCAUUCUCGGGGACGUUUUAAAUUGCAAGACCAGGUAUAGGUAGUCUACUGGUCUUCGCUAAAUUGCAAGACCAGGUAGCAAGGUGAAAAGCUUACCUGCUGUGCGAUGUCGUUUCCGCGUUGUUCCCCAUGAGCGUGGUGAGUGUUCUUGGAACUUCUGGACUGUACAUGUCAGGAUCAUAUGUUGAGCAAAAGACCUUAGCCACAGAGUUUCAGAUGAUUCUACUAAAACAGGGAAGGGUAGGAGACUUGAAGAAGAAGGGGGGGGGGGGGGGAUUUGAAACAUUUUUACUGAAACCCUUGGUGAUUUAAUUACAAUGUUGAUAAAGUAUAUUUUGUAACUUCCAGUGAUGCCAUUGAUGUUAUUAUAGUCUGAAUUUAACUUCAAAACCAUAUGUUUCUCCUUAUGAAACAACUUGAUAGUAAAUGGUCAAAUUUAUGGCUUCGAAUCCGAUACACUGAAAGCAUGAGACUGUUUUCUAUUCGGUUACUUAAUUUUCAGAUUUGUUUCCUCUGCUUAGGUAAAUUCAUAGUUUAACAUAUAGCAUUGUUUGGUUUCUUGGUAAAUAAGAAAGAAUGCAGAAAAUAGCAUGCAAUGUCUUUUGUCACUGAGUUUCCUACCUUGAAUGCUCUAUUUUUUGUUUUAUAUUACUGAUCAACAGCAGUCUAAUGUCAGUGAUGACGGAAUAGCUUAACACAUUAAAGAAGUAAAUAUUCAAAAUCACACAGCUAAGAAGGAUAUCUUCUUAUCCUAUUUCUAAUGUUGUAUGGCUUUUAUAUU
Rosa rugosa (rugosa rose) is the source of this 1493-nucleotide long non-coding RNA. RefSeq lists it as uncharacterized. The transcript is spliced from 7 exons. NCBI's taxonomy places the organism in Eukaryota, Viridiplantae, Streptophyta, Magnoliopsida, Rosales, Rosaceae. The record is from RefSeq and is a predicted model, not a curated record.